RNAcentral lists this ribosomal RNA (253 nucleotides) under uncultured bacterium. RNAcentral describes it as "partial 16S ribosomal RNA". It matches the Rfam family "Bacterial small subunit ribosomal RNA", at positions 524 to 776 of the family's 1533-position model. The record is from RNAcentral.
UACAGAGGGUGCAAGCGUUGUUCGGAAUUACUGGGCGUAAAGGGCGUGUAGGCGGUCUUGCAAGUCAGAUGUGAAAUCCCGGGGCUUAACUCCGGAAGUGCAUUUGAAACUGCAAGGCUUGAGUGCUGUAGAGGAUGGCGGAAUACCCAGUGGAGAGGUGAAAUUCGUAGAUAUUGGGUGGAACACCGGUGGCGAAGGCGGCCAUCUGGGCAGCAACUGACGCUGAGGCGCGAGAGCGUGGGGAGCAAACAGG